This 254-nucleotide ribosomal RNA is filed under the name uncultured bacterium. RNAcentral's name for it is "partial 16S ribosomal RNA". It matches the Rfam family "Bacterial small subunit ribosomal RNA", at positions 524 to 776 of the family's 1533-position model. The record is from RNAcentral.
UACGGAGGAUCCAAGCGUUAUCCGGAAUUACUGGGCGUAAAGAGUUGCGUAGGUGGCAGAGUAAGCGAAUAGUGAAAGCGUGUGGCUCAACCAUACAUCCAUUAUUUGAACUGCUCAGCUAGAGGACGAGAGAGGUAGAUGGAAUUCCUGAAGUAGGGGUAAUAUCCGUAGAUAUCAGGAGGAACACCGAUGGCGUAAGCAGUCUACUGGCUCGUUCCUGACACUCAGGCACGAAAGCGUGGGGAGCAAACGGG